AGUGAACGCUGGCGGUAGGCCUAACACAUGCAAGUCGAACGGCAGCACAGUAAGAGCUUGCUCUUACGGGUGGCGAGUGGCGGACGGGUGAGGAAUACAUCGGAAUCUACUUUUUCGUGGGGGCUAACGUAGGGAAACUUACGCUAAUACCGCAUACGACCUCCGGGUGAAAGCAGGGGAUCUUCUGACCUUGCGCGAUUGAAUGAGCCGAUGUCGGAUUAGCUAGUUGGCGGGGUAAAGGCCCACCAAGGCGACGAUCCGUAGCUGGUCUGAGAGGAUGAUCAGCCACACUGGAACUGAGACACGGUCCAGACUCCUACGGGAGGCAGCAGUGGGGAAUAUUGGACAAUGGGCGAAAGCCUGAUCCAGCCAUACCGCGUGGGUGAAGAAGGCCUUCGGGUUGUAAAGCCCUUUUGUUGGGAAAGAAAAGCAGCAGGUUAAUACCCCGCUGUUCUGACGGUACCCAAAGAAUAAGCACCGGCUAACUUCGUG
RNAcentral lists this ribosomal RNA (492 nucleotides) under uncultured bacterium. RNAcentral's name for it is "partial 16S ribosomal RNA". It matches the Rfam family "Bacterial small subunit ribosomal RNA", at positions 29 to 507 of the family's 1533-position model. The record is from RNAcentral.